Molecule: ribosomal RNA, 2771 nt
Filed under: Cronobacter sakazakii
Lineage: Bacteria; Pseudomonadati; Pseudomonadota; Gammaproteobacteria; Enterobacterales; Enterobacteriaceae
Description: bacterial LSU rRNA
Rfam family: Bacterial large subunit ribosomal RNA
Source: RNAcentral
AGCGUACACGGUGGAUGCCCUGGCAGUCAGAGGCGAUGAAGGACGUGCUAAUCUGCGAAAAGCGCCGGUAAGGUGAUAUGAACCGUUAUAACCGGCGAUGUCCGAAUGGGGAAACCCGGUGCACUUCGGUGCAUCAUCGUUAGCUGAAUACAUAGGCUAACGAGGCGAACCGGGGGAACUGAAACAUCUAAGUACCCCGAGGAAAAGAAAUCAACCGAGAUUCCCCCAGUAGCGGCGAGCGAACGGGGAACAGCCCAGAGCCUGAAUCAGCUUGUGUGUCAGUGGAACGGUCUGGAAAGGCCGGCGAUACAGGGUGACAGCCCCGUACACGAAGGCACACAGGCUGUGAGCUCGAUGAGUAGGGCGGGACACGUGAUAUCCUGUCUGAAGAUGGGGGGACCAUCCUCCAAGGCUAAAUACUCCUGACUGACCGAUAGUGAACCAGUACCGUGAGGGAAAGGCGAAAAGAACCCCGGCGAGGGGAGUGAAACAGAACCUGAAACCGUGUACGUACAAGCAGUGGGAGCCUUCGUAAGAGGGUGACUGCGUACCUUUUGUAUAAUGGGUCAGCGACUUAUAUUCUGUAGCAAGGUUAACCGUAUAGGGGAGCCGAAGGGAAACCGAGUCUUAAUUGGGCGUUAAGUUGCAGGGUAUAGACCCGAAACCCGGUGAUCUAGCCAUGGGCAGGUUGAAGGUUGGGUAACACUAACUGGAGGACCGAACCGACUAAUGUUGAAAAAUUAGCGGAUGACCUGUGGCUGGGGGUGAAAGGCCAAUCAAACCGGGAGAUAGCUGGUUCUCCCCGAAAGCUAUUUAGGUAGCGCCUCGUGAACUCAUCUCCGGGGGUAGAGCACUGUUUCGGCUAGGGGGCCAUCCCGGCUUACCAACCCGAUGCAAACUGCGAAUACCGGAGAAUGUUAUCACGGGAGACACACGGCGGGUGCUAACGUCCGUCGUGAAGAGGGAAACAACCCAGACCGCCAGCUAAGGUCCCAAAGUCAUGGUUAAGUGGGAAACGAUGUGGGAAGGCCCAGACAGCCAGGAUGUUGGCUUAGAAGCAGCCAUCAUUUAAAGAAAGCGUAAUAGCUCACUGGUCGAGUCGGCCUGCGCGGAAGAUGUAACGGGGCUAAACCAUGCACCGAAGCUGCGGCAGCGACACUAUGUGUUGUUGGGUAGGGGAGCGUUCUGUAAGCCUGUGAAGGUGUGCUGUGAGGCAUGCUGGAGGUAUCAGAAGUGCGAAUGCUGACAUAAGUAACGAUAAAGCGGGUGAAAAGCCCGCUCGCCGGAAGACCAAGGGUUCCUGUCCAACGUUAAUCGGGGCAGGGUGAGUCGACCCCUAAGGCGAGGCCGAAAGGCGUAGUCGAUGGGAAACAGGUUAAUAUUCCUGUACUUGGUGUUACUGCGAAGGGGGGACGGAGAAGGCUAUGUCGGCCGGGCGACGGUUGUCCCGGUUUAAGCGUGUAGGCUGACUUUCCAGGCAAAUCCGGAAGGUUAAGGCUGAGGCGUGAUGACGAGGCACCACGGUGCUGAAGUGACAAAUGCCCUGCUUCCAGGAAAAGCCUCUAAGCAUCAGGUAACAUCAAAUCGUACCCCAAACCGACACAGGUGGUCAGGUAGAGAAUACCAAGGCGCUUGAGAGAACUCGGGUGAAGGAACUAGGCAAAAUGGUGCCGUAACUUCGGGAGAAGGCACGCUGACAUGUAGGUGAAGCCCCUGCGGGUGGAGCUGAAGUCAGUCGAAGAUACCAGCUGGCUGCAACUGUUUAUUAAAAACACAGCACUGUGCAAACACGAAAGUGGACGUAUACGGUGUGACGCCUGCCCGGUGCCGGAAGGUUAAUUGAUGGGGUUAUCGCAAGAGAAGCUCCUGAUCGAAGCCCCGGUAAACGGCGGCCGUAACUAUAACGGUCCUAAGGUAGCGAAAUUCCUUGUCGGGUAAGUUCCGACCUGCACGAAUGGCGUAAUGAUGGCCAGGCUGUCUCCACCCGAGACUCAGUGAAAUUGAACUCGCUGUGAAGAUGCAGUGUACCCGCGGCAAGACGGAAAGACCCCGUGAACCUUUACUACAGCUUGACACUGAACAUUGAGCCUUGAUGUGUAGGAUAGGUGGGAGGCUUUGAAGCGUGGACGCCAGUCUGCGUGGAGCCGACCUUGAAAUACCACCCUUUAAUGUUUGAUGUUCUAACCUGGCGCCGUGAUCCGGCGUGGGGACAGUGUCUGGUGGGUAGUUUGACUGGGGCGGUCUCCUCCCAAAGUGUAACGGAGGAGCACGAAGGUCAGCUAAUCCUGGUCGGACAUCAGGAGGUUAGUGCAAUGGCAUAAGCUGGCUUGACUGCGAGAGUGACGGCUCGAGCAGGUGCGAAAGCAGGUCAUAGUGAUCCGGUGGUUCUGUAUGGAAGGGCCAUCGCUCAACGGAUAAAAGGUACUCCGGGGAUAACAGGCUGAUACCGCCCAAGAGUUCAUAUCGACGGCGGUGUUUGGCACCUCGAUGUCGGCUCAUCACAUCCUGGGGCUGAAGUAGGUCCCAAGGGUAUGGCUGUUCGCCAUUUAAAGUGGUACGCGAGCUGGGUUUAGAACGUCGUGAGACAGUUCGGUCCCUAUCUGCCGUGGGCGCUGGAGAAUUGAGGGGGGCUGCUCCCAGUACGAGAGGACCGGAGUGGACGCAUCACUGGUGUUCGGGUUGUCAUGCCAAUGGCACUGCCCGGUAGCUAAAUGCGGAAGAGAUAAGUGCUGAAAGCAUCUAAGCACGAAACUUGCCCCGAGAUGAGUUCU